Molecule: small nuclear RNA, 116 nt
Filed under: Olea europaea subsp. europaea
Lineage: Eukaryota; Viridiplantae; Streptophyta; Magnoliopsida; Lamiales; Oleaceae
Rfam family: U5 spliceosomal RNA
About the family: U5 RNA is a component of both types of known spliceosome. The precise function of this molecule is unknown, though it is known that the 5' loop is required for splice site selection and p220 binding, and that both the 3' stem-loop and the Sm site are important for Sm protein binding and cap methylation.
Source: RNAcentral
AGCCGCGCAGUAGGCUCAAAGCGAACUAUUCUUUCGCCUUUUACUAAAGAAUACCGUGUGCUUGCUGCAAAUAGUGGCAUACACCAAUUUUUGGAGGGGUCUUUCCCUGUAGGGUU